GGCAUAUCAAGUUUAAACACCGGUUCUCUACCGAUCAUCGAAAUUAAGCAACGCCGAUCCUGGUCAGUACUUAAAUGGGUGACCGCUUGAGAACGCCUCGGAAUUG
Non-coding RNA from Acanthosepion pharaonis, 106 nucleotides. Lineage: Eukaryota; Metazoa; Mollusca; Cephalopoda; Sepiida; Sepiidae. The record is from the annotation of a GenBank genome assembly.